UACGGGGGGAGCAAGCGUUGUUCGGAUUUACUGGGCGUAAAGGGCGCGUAGGCGGCCACCGCAAGUCGACUGUGAAAUCUCCGGGCUUAACUCGGAAAGGUCAGCCGAUACUGCGGGGCUAGAGUGCAGAAGGGGCAACUGGAAUUCUCGGUGUAGCGGUGAAAUGCGUAGAUAUCGAGAGGAACACCUGCGGCGAAGGCGGGUUGCUGGGCUGACACUGACGCUGAGGCGCGAAAGCUAGGGGAGCAAACGGG
This 254-nucleotide ribosomal RNA is filed under the name uncultured bacterium. RNAcentral describes it as "partial 16S ribosomal RNA". It matches the Rfam family "Bacterial small subunit ribosomal RNA", at positions 524 to 776 of the family's 1533-position model. The record is from RNAcentral.